Molecule: ribosomal RNA, 243 nt
Filed under: uncultured Pseudomonas sp.
Lineage: Bacteria; Pseudomonadati; Pseudomonadota; Gammaproteobacteria; Pseudomonadales; Pseudomonadaceae
Description: partial 16S ribosomal RNA
Rfam family: Bacterial small subunit ribosomal RNA
Source: RNAcentral
UAGCCUACGGAAGUACCUGCCUGGUAGUGGGGGACAACGUUUCGAAAGGAACGCUAAUACCGCAUACGUCCUACGGGAGAAAGCAGGGACCUUCGGGCCUUGCGCUAUCAGAUGAGCCUAGGUCGGAUUAGCUAGUUGGUGAGGUAAUGGCUCACCAAGGCGACGAUCCGUAACUGGUCUGAGAGGAUGAUCAGUCACACUGGAACUGAGACACGGUCCAGACUCCUACGGGAGGCAGCAGCC